UCAUUUAAAGAGUGCGUAACAGCUCACUAGUCAAGAGAUCUUGCGCGGAAAAUGUAACGGGGCUAAGCAUAGCACCGAAGAUGUGAACUUGUGCAUAGCACAAGAUUUAGCAGACAAACAGAUAACAUUUAGCAGAAAUUUAGCAGAGAACAGGUAGCAGACAAGUCUGAUAUCUGACAAAUGCAAAAUUUCUGUCAUCUGCUACCUGAGAUCUGAUAAAUCAUGCGCUAUGCAUGAGUGGUAGAGGAGCGUUCCUCUCUGCGUUGAAGUUGAACCGUGAGGUUUGGUGGAGCGUGAGGAAGUGAGAAUGUUGGAAUGAGUAACCAUAAGGCAGGUGAGAAUCCUGCCCACCGAAAGAGCAAGGUUUCCUGGGCCACGGUAAUCGUCCCAGGGUUAGUCGGUCCUAAGCCGAGGCGCGUAGCGUAGGCGAUGGACAACAGGUUAAUAUUCCUGUACUGGCACACAUUUGUUAUAUGUGCGCGGCAUAUUAGUAGGAGCGGAUUCAUGGUUAUAUCCGUCUAAGUAGGAGAAAUGCCUGCGAAUGAAACGACCAUCAGGUUGAAUUUCUAUAAAAGUGCUGACUAGAAAAGCAAUAUAACGCGUGGUGUGAGCCAUCCGUACCGCAAACCGACACAGGUGCUCAGGUCGAGAAGACCAAGGUGUACGAGUGAUUCUUCGUUAAGGAACUCGGCAAACAAGCGACCGUAACUUCGGGAUAAGGUCUGCCCUCUCACAUU
Molecule: ribosomal RNA, 737 nt
Filed under: Candidatus Doudnaibacteriota bacterium
Lineage: Bacteria; Candidatus Doudnaibacteriota
Description: Candidatus Doudnabacteria bacterium partial 23S ribosomal RNA
Rfam family: Bacterial large subunit ribosomal RNA
Source: RNAcentral